UAUCUCUGUAGAGUCUGCAUAUCAAUAAGCGGAGGAAAAGAAACUAACUAGGAUUCCCUAGUAACGGCGAGUGAAGCGGGAAGAGCUCAAAUUUGAAAUCUUCAAGGUUUUACCUUGACGAAUUGUAGUUUAAAGAAGUGUUUUCUGUUGGUGUUUUGGUAAAAGUUCUUUGGAAUAGGACAUCAUAGAGGGUGAGAAUCCCGUAUUUGACCAUUGCUUCCAGCGUUGUGAUACACUUUCAAAGAGUCGGAUUGUUUGGGAAUGCAGUCCAAAAUGGGUGGUAAAUUUCAUCUGAAGCUAAAUAUUGGCGAGAGGACCGAUAGCGAACAAGUACCGUGAGGGAAAGAUGAAAAGAACUUUGAAAAGAGAGUUAAACAGUACGUGAAAUUGUCAAAAGGGAAGCGUUUGACACCAGUGUUGUUUUCUCGAAAAUCAAUUAAAAAGUGUUAGGAUUUUGUGUUGUAUUGACUUUAUCAGCUUUCUGCACUCUUUUCCUGUCUUUUUUAAUGCACUUUUCGUUUAACAAGUCAACAUCAAUUUCUUUUGUUGUAAAAGAGGUCAUUGGAAGGUGGCUUUCUUUUCGGAGAAAGUGUUUAUAGCCUUUGGCCUUCUGCAAUCGGAGAGAUUGAGGUCUGCAGCGUAGAUCCUUCGGGGUUAGAUACAUUUGUGCUAAGUUAUAGCCUUUCAUAGACAACUUGUUGACUAUGAUCAGUCAUGUAGCUUACUCGCUUAUGCUAUUUUACCUACGCUUAGGAUGUUGAGUCAUCACACAUCUCU
This 777-nucleotide ribosomal RNA is filed under the name uncultured Neocallimastigales. RNAcentral's name for it is "partial large subunit ribosomal RNA". It matches the Rfam family "Eukaryotic large subunit ribosomal RNA", at positions 24 to 614 of the family's 3401-position model. Lineage: Eukaryota; Fungi; Neocallimastigomycota; Neocallimastigomycetes; Neocallimastigales. The record is from RNAcentral.